Molecule: long non-coding RNA, 763 nt
Organism: Carassius gibelio (silver crucian carp)
Lineage: Eukaryota; Metazoa; Chordata; Actinopteri; Cypriniformes; Cyprinidae
Exons: 2
Source: RefSeq, a predicted model, not a curated record
GCGACGCGUUUCGAACCUUCCCACAGUGUUCUCAUCAGGCGAAUUCAAUGACAAAAUGACUCUGACCCAGCUCGCUCCAGCAUUUAUGUGCCAGGAGGGCGGGGCUUCUCACCUCGCAACCAAUAGCAACCGAUAACCACCUUCAGCAUUGUAUGAUGCUUCAUGAAUUGUUUCUUUCACACACUAAUAAACUGUAUUGUUGUUUUUUAAUUUUUUACAGGUACUAGUCGAAUAAUGUCGAUCAGCAGGCACUUGCAGCAGGUAAGUAGGCACCUUUGUGCAUAAUUCAGGUGAGUACAGGGAACUCGAGGUCCAUAGGAACCCGGCACUGGCUUGGUUAGGUGAAGGAAAAUCCAGAAUCCGAAUCCCGAAGGAUUCGAAAACGGUUGUGCACGGUCCUGAGUCCCACCGGCCGCCAAGAGUCACAAGCACACCCCCAAAUCACACACACAACAGCCAACACUUCCCCACAGAAAGCCAACGCCAGUCUAAAAUAUUUUUUUAGGCUCUGUAAAAAAUCCCAAACCCGGGCUACAGCCACACGGGCUGUUUUUCUCAGGGGUGUGUGAAGAAAAACCGAUGGUAGGUUAAGGUUUAGAUGUGGUUAAGGGGUAUAUUACUCUAAAAGUACACAUCUCAACGUCUGUAUGGACGGAGAAGAAAAAUUGAAUAAACAUAUAUUGUGCUCAGACGCAUCACCACCCUAAUGAUGCCGGCUGUUUAUUUUUAAAUGUCUUCAAAUUUUGUCAUUCAGGUCUGUCGC